This 495-nucleotide ribosomal RNA is filed under the name uncultured bacterium. Its description in RNAcentral is "partial 16S ribosomal RNA". It matches the Rfam family "Bacterial small subunit ribosomal RNA", at positions 28 to 507 of the family's 1533-position model. The record is from RNAcentral.
GACGAACGCUGGCGGCGUGCCUAAUACAUGCAAGUAGAACGCUGAAGGAGGAGCUUGCUUCUCUGGAUGAGUUGCGAACGGGUGAGUAACGCGUAGGUAACCUGCCUGGUAGCGGGGGAUAACUAUUGGAAACGAUAGCUAAUACCGCAUAAGAGUAGAUGUCGCAUGACAUUUGCUUAAAAGGUGCAAUUGCAUCACUACCAGAUGGACCUGCGUUGUAUUAGCUAGUUGGUGAGGUAACGGCUCACCAAGGCAACGAUACAUAGCCGACCUGAGAGGGGGAUCGGCCACACUGGGACGGAGACACGGCCCAGACUCCUACGGGAGGCAGCAGUAGGGAAUCUUCGGCAAUGGACGGAAGUCUGACCGAGCAACGCCGCGGGAGUGAAGAAGGGUGUCGGAUCGUAAAGCUCUGUUGUAAGAGAAGAACGAGUGUGAGAGUGGAAAGUUCACACUGUGACGGUAUCUUACCAGAAAGGGACGGCUAACUACGUG